AUGGAGUAUUUCAGACCAUUCUUAACUGUUCUUCUGGUCUUCAAUGGAAUUUACGGAUCCUCAAGCACCACAACUGUUCCAAGCACAACAACUGCUCCAAUAACAGCUGCUCCAACCAUACAGGCAACACAGGGAGGAGCCACACUUCCAGCUGCCACAACAACAACAACUGCACUGAUAACUACAGGGUCAACAAUAGCUACAACGUCAUCGACCUCCAUCAUCACCGGGUCAACCAUACAGUCAAUACUGGGUGUUUUUAUCUGGAUGAUGUGGCUCCUUCAGUAGAGCAUUGAGGAGAAAGUAGAGGAAAAGCAGCCCACAGCAAUCAAUUUAUGAGCAAUUUUGAUGCCUUAAAUAUUUCAUUAAGUUUAGAGUUUAUUAUCGUUGAUCUUCAAUGUUUGGCUAAGCUAUCUAUUUAUGGUUGAUAUUUCUUAAUAUUUUUCUUGUCACAUUUGUGAAGUAAUAUAUUAGCAUUAAAAAUAUUUUUUUCCAAAUAUGUUUUGACGUAGAUUCAUUACAUAUAAAACAUACCGAAAGUAAUAUAUUUAAACAAAGAUCUAUUAAAAAUCUCAGAACUAUUAAAAGAAGUUGACAGAUUGUUUCGGUGUUCAUCCAAACACCAUAAGAAAUGUAUUACCAUGAUAAUUGUGUAUACAUAAAUGAGAAACUUAGAGCAAGCCUAGAGCAUUAUACAACAUAUUUGCUUAAAUUACAGCAUAAGUUCUACAUUUCUUUCAAAUAUGUCGACUAUUUAAAUUACAAUUUAAAAUCUGUGGUUUCAAUAAAUCAUAAAUGUCACAUUUUUCCUCAACUUUAUUGAGAAUUAUAAAGAAUAUUGUAAUUAAUCAAAUUAUAAACAUAUAACAUACAACAUGUGUAUUUUGUACUAUUUGUACUAUUACUGAUUGUCAUUAACCUGAUUGUGUCAUUUAUAUGUUUGUAUAAAUCAAUU
Misgurnus anguillicaudatus (oriental weatherfish) is the source of this 955-nucleotide long non-coding RNA. RefSeq lists it as uncharacterized. Lineage: Eukaryota; Metazoa; Chordata; Actinopteri; Cypriniformes; Cobitidae. The record is from RefSeq and is a predicted model, not a curated record.